UACGGGGGGGGCAAGCGUUGUUCGGAAUUACUAGGCGUAAAGGGCUCGUAGGCGGCCAACUAAGUCAGACGUGAAAUCCCCAGGCUCAACCUGGGAACUGCGUCUGAUACUGGAUGGCUUGAAUUCGGGAGAGGGAUGCAGAAUUCCAGGUGUAGCGGUGAAAUGCGUAGAUAUCUGGAGGAAUACCGGUGGCGAAGGCGGGUCUCUGGGCCGAUACUGACGCUGAGGAGCGAAAGCGUGGGGAGCGAACAGG
This 253-nucleotide ribosomal RNA is filed under the name uncultured bacterium. RNAcentral describes it as "partial 16S ribosomal RNA". It matches the Rfam family "Bacterial small subunit ribosomal RNA", at positions 524 to 776 of the family's 1533-position model. The record is from RNAcentral.